UACGAAGGGUGCAAGCGUUACUCGGAAUUACUGGGCGUAAAGGGUGCGUAGGUGGUUGUUUAAGUCUGCUGUGAAAGCCCCGGGCUCAACCUGGGAAUGGCAGUGGAUACUGGAUAGCUAGAGUGCGGUAGAGGGUAGUGGAAUUCCCGGUGUAGCAGUGAAAUGCGUAGAGAUCGGGAGGAACACCAGUGGCGAAGGCGGCGACCUGGACAGAUACUGACACUAAACUACGAAAGCGUGGGGAGCAAACAGG
RNAcentral lists this ribosomal RNA (253 nucleotides) under uncultured bacterium. Its description in RNAcentral is "partial 16S ribosomal RNA". It matches the Rfam family "Bacterial small subunit ribosomal RNA", at positions 524 to 776 of the family's 1533-position model. The record is from RNAcentral.